UCUCCGUUGGUGAACCAGCGGAGGGAUCAUUACAGGACUCGCAAGACUCCUACACCCCUGUGAACUUCACUAUAAGCACGUUGCUUCGGCCGGUGUCUCGGAGGGGCUUCUCCCUCCCCCGGUCGCUCAACCCGCCGGCAGCCUACUUUACUCUGUAUCUUUGCUUUGGCAUCUCUAGUACAAACAAACAAGUUAAAACUUUCAACAACGGAUCUCUUGGUUCUG
Molecule: unclassified non-coding RNA, 225 nt
Filed under: plant metagenome
Description: partial contains small subunit ribosomal RNA, internal transcribed spacer 1, and 5.8S ribosomal RNA
Source: RNAcentral